RNAcentral lists this ribosomal RNA (285 nucleotides) under Segatella copri DSM 18205. Its description in RNAcentral is "Prevotella copri DSM 18205 partial 16S ribosomal RNA". It matches the Rfam family "Bacterial small subunit ribosomal RNA", at positions 524 to 808 of the family's 1533-position model. Lineage: Bacteria; Pseudomonadati; Bacteroidota; Bacteroidia; Bacteroidales; Prevotellaceae. The record is from RNAcentral.
UACGGAAGGUCCGGGCGUUAUCCGGAUUUAUUGGGUUUAAAGGGAGCGUAGGCCGGAGAUUAAGCGUGUUGUGAAAUGUAGACGCUCAACGUCUGCACUGCAGCGCGAACUGGUUUCCUUGAGUACGCACAAAGUGGGCGGAAUUCGUGGUGUAGCGGUGAAAUGCUUAGAUAUCACGAAGAACUCCGAUUGCGAAGGCAGCUCACGGGAGCGCAACGGACGCGGAAGCGCGAAAGGGCGGGGAUCGAACAGGAGGAGAGACCCGGGUAGUCCGGCUGACUGACG